AAUAGGCUGUCCAAUCACCUUCAUAUAAUCCCGAUAAUCGGUUCGGGAGUCUCUACCAAAUCACCGGAAAUGAUUUGACUAUGAAGGCAGAUCCUGUAUGU
Molecule: non-coding RNA, 101 nt
Filed under: Caldibacillus debilis
Lineage: Bacteria; Bacillati; Bacillota; Bacilli; Caryophanales; Bacillaceae
Description: Guanine sequence
Rfam family: Purine riboswitch aptamer
About the family: Riboswitches are metabolite binding domains within certain messenger RNAs that serve as precision sensors for their corresponding targets. Allosteric rearrangement of mRNA structure is mediated by ligand binding, and this results in modulation of gene expression.
Source: RNAcentral